GAUGAACGCUAGCGGCAGGCCUAACACAUGCAAGUCGAGGGAGAAGCUCUUCGGGGCAGAAACCGGCGCACGGGUGCGUAACGCGUAUGCAACCUACCUUUCACAGGGGGAUAGCCCGAAGAAAUUUGGAUUAAUACCCCAUAAUAUUAUUGGGUGGCAUCAUUUGAUAAUUAAAAUUACGAUGGUGAAAGAUGGGCAUGCGUCCUAUUAGCUAGUUGGAGUGGUAACGGCACCCCAAGGCUACGAUAGGUAGGGGUCCUGAGAGGGAGAUCCCCCACACUGGUACUGAGACAGGGACCAGACUCCUACGGGAGGCAGCAGUGAGGAAUAUUGGUCAAUGGUCGGAAGACUGAACCAGCCAUGCCGCGUGCAGGAAGAAUGCCUUAUGGGUUGUAAACUGCUUUUAUAUGGGAAGAAUAAGGAGUACGUGUACUUUGAUGACGGUACCAUAUGAAUAAAGCAUCGGUA
Molecule: ribosomal RNA, 468 nt
Filed under: Capnocytophaga granulosa
Lineage: Bacteria; Pseudomonadati; Bacteroidota; Flavobacteriia; Flavobacteriales; Flavobacteriaceae
Description: bacterial SSU rRNA
Rfam family: Bacterial small subunit ribosomal RNA
Source: RNAcentral